CUCAGUUCAAACACAUAUUUAUAUAUGUGUGUGAACUGAGAAAAAUUGCAGUUUGUCAGGUAAACAACUUCUUUAGAAAAUAAGUGCAGCUAAUACUUCGUCUGACUUAAUUAAGUCUGAGCAUGAGCUACAUUACCAGUGAUAUAUGCUUAGUCUCGACCAGAGAAAACGGAACACACCUUCAUUGCUCAGUUAAUUAACCUACAGCACCUCAUCUCUCCCAUGUCUUCAGCAUCAGUACCUACCACCAAAAGAAAAAAUAAAAAGCCAAAAAUCAAGAUGGGCGAUGAGGUUGGAGACGCAGGCCGGAAGCCCCGUAUCCUGAGUGGGAGGUUUCCACACCUCUCCCACCUAUACCUGACACUAAAUACGCUGCUCACGUUUUGAAGAUAAUUGCAAAAUACGGCGAUGCUGUAGGAAUGGUAAACGCAGAGACUCAAGAACAGCGGACGUUCUCUGAAUUGUGUGAUCUUGUGCCACGGGUGUCUGCAGGUCUCAACGCCGCUGGGGCCACACUGCGUCAUGCCGUCCUCUACCUGGCCCCCAAACCAUGUAGACUUCCCA
This is a non-coding RNA of Cherax quadricarinatus, 564 nucleotides long. The record is from RefSeq and is a predicted model, not a curated record. NCBI's taxonomy places the organism in Eukaryota, Metazoa, Arthropoda, Malacostraca, Decapoda, Parastacidae.